UCCCUGGUGGCUCAGAGGUUAAAGCGUCUGCCUCCAAUGCUGGAAACCUGGGUUUGAUUCCUGGGUCGGGAA
Bos taurus (domestic cattle) is the source of this 72-nucleotide non-coding RNA. The record is from Rfam. Lineage: Eukaryota; Metazoa; Chordata; Mammalia; Artiodactyla; Bovidae.